AAAAUAUAAAAAAAUGAUAUAAUUGUAUGGGAGGCCCAAUAGGACUUUUGGGCCCACCAUAGCAAAAUAGGUGGGGCCUAUUAUGUGCCAAAAUAGGUGGCACGCCCCACCUAGGUAACCUUCUAUUUUAUUUGAUCAAGCUCUAAAGUUUGAGAGAUAAGCUUGUGUUGUUUUAAAAAAGCUUAAAUCUUUGAGAAAAUUUUGAAUGAAAUUUUUGUAUGUAUGAGAAGAC
Molecule: long non-coding RNA, 232 nt
Filed under: Amborella trichopoda
Lineage: Eukaryota; Viridiplantae; Streptophyta; Magnoliopsida; Amborellales; Amborellaceae
Description: long non-coding RNA (ATRI_LNC004068)
Source: RNAcentral